This 273-nucleotide ribosomal RNA is filed under the name uncultured bacterium. RNAcentral's name for it is "partial 16S ribosomal RNA". It matches the Rfam family "Bacterial small subunit ribosomal RNA", at positions 524 to 796 of the family's 1533-position model. The record is from RNAcentral.
GACGGAGGGGGCUAGCGUUGUUCGGAAUUACUGGGCGUAAAGGGCGCGUAGGCGGCUCUUCAAGUUAGACGUGAAAGCCCUGGGCUUAACCUAGGAAUAGCGUUUAAUACUGGAGGGCUAGAGAUCGGUAGAGGGAAAUGGAAUUCCUAGUGUAGAGGUGAAAUUCGUAGAUAUUAGGAAGAACACCAGAGGCGAAGGCGGUUUCCUGGGCCGAUACUGACGCUGAGGCGCGAAAGCGUGGGGAGCAAACAGGAUUAGAUACCCCCGUAGUCC